GACGAACGCUGGCGGCGUGCUUAACACAUGCAAGUCGAACGGAAAGGCCCUGCUUUUGUGGGGUGCUCGAGUGGCGAACGGGUGAGUAACACGUGAGUAACCUGCCCUUGACUUUGGGAUAACUUCAGGAAACUGGGGCUAAUACCGGAUAGGAGCUCCUGCUGCAUGGGGGGGGUUGGAAAGUUUCGGCGGUUGGGGAUGGACUCGCGGCUUAUCAGCUUGUUGGUGGGGUAGUGGCUUACCAAGGCUUUGACGGGUAGCCGGCCUGAGAGGGUGACCGGCCACCUUGGGACUGAGAUACGGCCCAGACUCCUACGGGAGGCAGCAGUGGGGAAUAUUGCACAAUGGGCGGAAGCCUGAUGCAGCAACGCCGCGUGCGUGAUGACGGCCUUCGGGUUGUAAACCGCUUUCGCCUGUGACGAAGCGUGAGUGACGGUAAUGGGUAAAGAAGCACCGGCUAACUACGUG
Molecule: ribosomal RNA, 468 nt
Filed under: uncultured bacterium
Lineage: Bacteria
Description: partial 16S ribosomal RNA
Rfam family: Bacterial small subunit ribosomal RNA
Source: RNAcentral